RNAcentral lists this RNase P RNA (369 nucleotides) under Granulicatella sp. WM01. RNAcentral's name for it is "Bacterial RNase P class B". It matches the Rfam family "Bacterial RNase P class B". From Rfam's summary of the family: Ribonuclease P (RNase P) is a ubiquitous endoribonuclease, found in archaea, bacteria and eukarya as well as chloroplasts and mitochondria. Its best characterised activity is the generation of mature 5'-ends of tRNAs by cleaving the 5'-leader elements of precursor-tRNAs. RNAcentral also lists the same sequence under 1 other name. The record is from Rfam by way of RNAcentral. Lineage: Bacteria; Bacillati; Bacillota; Bacilli; Lactobacillales; Carnobacteriaceae.
AACUUCGGAUUAUUGCAGUCUUUUAGGCUGAGGAAAGUCCAUGCUCGCACAAGCUGAAAUGCUUGUAGUGUUCGUGCUUAACGAAACAAUAAGUUAAGGCAACCAAAUGGUUGACGGCAGAAAAAAUGACUAAGGGAAACUAUGUCAAAGUAUUCUUGAAAGUGCCACAGUGACGAAGCAAUAUUGGAAACUUUAUUGGUGGAACGCGGUAAACCCCUCGAGCGAGCAACCCAAACUAUUGGUAGGGGCACUCUUUAUUAGGAAUAACAACGAAAAAAGAGGUGUGCAUUUGUCAAUGUACACAGACAGAUAAUAAUCGAUGUUUAAAAUCUCCCGAGUUUUAAACGGAACAGAACAUGGCUUAUAGAA